CUGGCCCCCCGCGGGCCCGAGUUGUACUUUGGAGAGGACGCUUCUGGCGCGGCGCCGUCCGAGUUCCCUGGAACGGGACGCCGGAGAGGGUGAGAGCCCCGUACGGGCGGCCGCCUAGCCUCUGCGAAGCUCCUUCGACGAGUCGAGUAGUUUGGGAAUGCUGCUCAAAAUGGGAGGUAAAUUUCUUCUAAAGCUAAAUACCGGCCAGAGACCGAUAGCGCACAAGUAGAGUGAUCGAAAGAUGAAAAGCACUUUGAAAAGAGGGUCAAACAGUACGUGAAAUUGUUGAAAGGGAAGCGCCUGUGGCCAGACUUGCGCCCCGCGGACCACCCGGCGCCUCGCGCGCCGGGGCACGCCAGCGGGGCGCAGGCCAGCAUCGGCUCUCUCGGGGGGACAAAGGCCGCGGGAACGUAGCGCCCUCGCGGCGUAUUAUAGCCCGCGGCGCCAUGCCCCCGGGGGGGCCGAGGACCGCGCUCCGGCAAGGAUGCUGGCGUAAUGGCCACCGGCGACCCGUCUUGAAACACGGACCAAGGAGUCAAGCAUUGGGGCGAGUGUCUGGGUGGCAAGCCCGCACGCGGAAUGAAAGUGAACGCAGGUGGGAGCUUCGGCGCACCACCGACCGAUCCUGAUGUCCUCGGAUGGAUUUGAGUAGGAGCCCCGCCGCUUGGACCCGAAAGAUGGUGAACUAUGCCUGUAUAGGGUGAAGCCAGAGGAAACUCUGGUGGAGGCCCGCAGCGGUUCUGACGUGCAAAUCGAUCGUCAAAUAUGGGC
RNAcentral lists this ribosomal RNA (771 nucleotides) under Harringtonia lauricola. RNAcentral describes it as "Raffaelea lauricola partial large subunit ribosomal RNA". It matches the Rfam family "Eukaryotic large subunit ribosomal RNA", at positions 122 to 916 of the family's 3401-position model. Lineage: Eukaryota; Fungi; Ascomycota; Sordariomycetes; Ophiostomatales; Ophiostomataceae. The record is from RNAcentral.